AAGUCGUAACAAGGUUUCCGUAGGUGAACCUGCGGAAGGAUCAUUACAAAUCCAUCCACGUCUCAUACCCGAGACCACGUUGAAAUGUUCCCCAGACCAGGGCGCACGCCGUUCCCACGCUUUCAGACUCCUCGGAGCCUGCCUGCUGGGACGCUGCCGAGCUCUGGACUGGGCUGUUAAACUAGUGUUACGUUGUUGCUCAAAUGUAUCUUGAUUUCAAUCAAACGAAAACUUGUACAACUUAUAACAAUGGAUCUCUAGGCUCUU
RNAcentral lists this unclassified non-coding RNA (267 nucleotides) under fungal sp. Its description in RNAcentral is "partial internal transcribed spacer region". The stretch from base 1 to 46 matches the Rfam family "Eukaryotic small subunit ribosomal RNA", at positions 1786 to 1831 of the family's 1831-position model. RNAcentral also lists the same sequence under 1 other name. The record is from RNAcentral. Lineage: Eukaryota; Fungi.